GUGCUUGCUUUGGCAACACAUGUACUAAAAUUGGAAUGAUACAGAGAAAAUUAGUAUGACCCCUAUGCAAGGAUGAUAUACCAAUUCAUGAAGCAUUCUAUUAAAAAAAAUUCUU
Small nuclear RNA from Monodelphis domestica (gray short-tailed opossum), 115 nucleotides. The record is from Ensembl. NCBI's taxonomy places the organism in Eukaryota, Metazoa, Chordata, Mammalia, Didelphimorphia, Didelphidae.